CCUACGGGAGGCAGCAGUCGAGAAUCAUUCACAAUGGGGGAAACCCUGAUGGUGCGACGCCGCGUGGGGGAAUGAAGGUCUUCGGAUUGUAAACCCCUGUCAUGUGGGAGCAAAUUAAGAAGAUAGUACCACAAGAGGAAGAGACGUCCAACUCUGUGCCAGCAGCCGCGGUAAUACAGAGGGCUCAAGCGUUGUUCGGAAUCACUGGGCGGAAAGGGUGCGUAGGCUGUUUCGUAAGUCGUGUGUGAAAGGCGCGGGCUCAACCCGCGGACGGCACAUGAUACUGCGAGACUAGAGUGAUGGAGGGGGAAGCGGAAUUCUCGGUGUAGCAGUGAAAUGCGUAGAUAUCGAGAGGAACACUCGUGGCGAAGGCGGGUUCCUGGACAUUAACUGACGCUGAGGCACGAAGGCCAGGGGAGCGAAAGGGAUUAGAUACCCUGGUAGUC
This 446-nucleotide ribosomal RNA is filed under the name uncultured bacterium. RNAcentral's name for it is "partial 16S ribosomal RNA". It matches the Rfam family "Bacterial small subunit ribosomal RNA", at positions 338 to 795 of the family's 1533-position model. The record is from RNAcentral.